GCGCUCCCUACCCGCCGACCUGAGGAAGUGGAACGUUAGCGUGACCGCGGAGGGAGGGGCGUAAUGUUUCAGGAAAGAAGGAGAACAAGUAGAUGAGGAGAAUCCGGUACCCGAAGAGUAUCGGUACUGAAAUGAGGAAACAUUGCAGCCAAUUAAGAUGCUAUAUAGAAGUUUUUGAUAGCAUGUUUCCAAUUUUCCCAGGGGCACUAAGAGAAGAGGUGUCUGGAGCAGGAGUAAGAGCAUUCCAGUGACUCUUAACUAUCAAAAAGUAAGCCAGAAUUUGGUUUAAACCUCACUCUUCUGUGAGUCUGAUGGGUAAGCCCAGUCUCAGGGUACACUGACAGAAAAAUGGAGAAUCAGAUCCUCCCAAUAUACUGUCGUGAUCCUGUUAGUCCAGGCUAAGUGACUCUUUCUCAGUUUUAAUUGCAGAAAUCAGUAUCAUCCUUUGUCAUCCAAGUAUACACUUGCAUCAUUUUUCAGCCAAAGGAAUUUUUUUUGGGAAGCAACUUACUUGAUUCCUGGUUGUACUGUCUUUGAUCCAUGCAAAUUUUCCCCCUUCACUUAUUUUACAAUACAAAUGUGAUAAAGUCUUUGCUUCUUUACACUUACUUGUAUCCAGAGAGUUGUGGGGGCUUCUUUGUUGGUUUUUUGUGGUGGUGGUGGUAGUUAUUUUUCGACCAUGCCACCCAGCUUGUGGAAUCCUAGUUCCCAGACCAAGGAUUGAACCCAGAGAAAUCACCAAGUUCCAGUCACUAGACCACCAGAAAUUCCCUAGAGCGAUUGUUUGCCCAUGUAGAUCUGUUUUAUGGAUUUUUCUCUUUUCAUUGUGGUUUAUUACAGAAUAUUGAAUAUAUUUCCCAGUGGUAUACAGUAGGACCUUGUUGUUUAUCUAUUUUAUAUAGUUUGUAUUUGCUAAUCCCAGACUCUUAAUUUAUUCCUCCACCACUCCCUUUCUCCUUUGGUAAUAUAUGCCCAAGACUAGGAUUGCUGGAUCAUAUGACAACUCUAUUUUUAGUUUUCUAAGGAGCCUCCAUAUUGUUCUGCAUAGUGGCUGUGUAAUUUACAUUCCUACCAACAUUGUAGGAGGUUCUGCUUUUCUACACACCCUCUCCAACAUUUGUUAUUUGACUGCUUGAGGUGAACAGCCAGCUUACUUGAGAAGACCCUGAUGCUUGGAAAGAUUGUAGGUAAAAGGAGAAGGGGGCAGUAGAGGAUGAUAUGGUUAGAUAGCGUCACUGAUUCAGUGGACAUGAAUCUGAGCAAAUUCCAGGGUGAAGGACAGGGAAGCCUGGCAUGCUGCAGUCCAAAGAGUUGGACACGACUUAGCGACUGAACAGUGACAAUUUACAAGACUUAAAAUUGUAUUGAAGCUUAGUUGAUUUACAAUGUUGUGUUAAUUUCAGGUAUACAUCACAGUGAUUGAGUUAUACAUAUAUUGAUUCUUUUUCAGGUUCUUUACCCAUAUAGGUUAUUACAAAAUACUGAGUAGAAUUUCCUGUGCUAUACAGUAGGUCCUUGUUGGUCUGUCGAUGGACAUUUAGGUUGCUUCCAUGUCUUGGCUAUUGUAAACAGUGCUGCAGUGAGCAUUGAGCUGCAUGUAUCUUUUCUUUUUUAAUUAUUAUGAGAGUAUGGUUACUUUACAAUGUUGUGUUAGUUUCUACUGCACAGCAAAGUGAAUCAGCUAUACAUAUAUACAUAUAUCCCCUCUUUUUUGGAUUUCUUUCCCAUUAGGUCACCCACAGAGCACUAAGUAGAAUUCCCUGAGCUAUAUAGUGUUCUCAUUAGUUAUCUAUACACAGUAUCAAUAGUGUAUAUAUGGCAAUCCCAAUCUCCCAAUUCAUCCUACCUCCCAUCCCCCUUGGUGCUCAAACAUUUAUUUUCUACAUCUAUGCUCUAUUUCUGUUUUGCAAAUAAGAUCAUCUGUGUCAUUUUUCUAGAUUUUAUAUAUAUACAUUAAUAAAUGCUAUUUGUUUGUCUCUUUCUGACUUACUUCACUCUGUAUGACAAUCUCUAGGUCCAGUCACAUCUCUACAGAUGACCCAAUUUCAUUCCUUUUUAUGGCUGAAUAAUAUUCCAUUGUAUAUAUGGUACACAUCUUUAUCCAUUACUCUGGUUUUUAAAUUUUAUUUAUUUUUAUUUACUUUUGGUUGUGCUGGGUCUUCAUUGCCUAUGCACAGGCUUUCUCUGGUUGCAGUGAUCAGUGUCUGCUCUUCGUCACAGAACAUGGGAUUCUCAUUGCAGUGACUUCUCUUGUUGCAGAGCACAGGCUCCAGUUGGCGUGGGCUUCAGUAGUUGCAGCUCGCAGGCUGCACAUGGGCUUAGUUGUGGCACAUGGGCUUAGUUGCUCCAUGGAAUGUGGAAUCUUCCCGGACCAGGGAUCAAACCAUGUCCCCUGCAUUGGCAGGCCAGUUCUUAACCACUGGACAACUAGGGAAGUUCUAUCCAUUCCUUUGUUGAUGAACAUUUAGGUUACUUUCAUGUCCUGGCAAUUGUAAAUAGUGCUGCAACGAACAUUUGGGUGCAUGUUAUCUUGUCAAAGUACGGUUUUCUCUAGAUAUAUGCCUAGAAGUGCAAUUUCUGGCUUUUUAUUUGUAGAUUUUUUAAUGAGGGUCAUUCUAACCUGUGUGAGAUUGUACCUCAUAGUUUUGAUUUGCAUUUCUCUAAUAAUUAGCAGAGUUGAGCAUCUUUUCAUGUGCCUAUUGGCCAUCUGUAUGUCUUCUUUGGAGAAAUGUCUGUUUAGAUCUUCUCCCCAUUUGAUUGGGUUGUUUUUGUUGUUGUUGAGUUGUAGGACCUGUUUGUAUAUUUUAAAAAAAAUUAUUUAGGCUGUGCUGGGACUUAGUUGUGGCUUGAGUUGUAUGAGCUGUUUGUAUAUUUAAAAAAAAAAUUUAUUUAGGCUGUGCUUGGACUUAGCUGUGGCACGUGGGGUCUUCAGUUGUGGCAUGCAGGAUCUAGUUCCAUGACCAGGGAUGGAACCUGUGCCCCCUGCAUUGGGAACAUGAAGUCUUAGUCACUGGACCACCAGGGAAGUCCCUGUUGUAAAUUUUUUUGAAAUUAAGCCCUUGUCAGUCAUAUGAUCUAAAAAUAUUUUCUCCUAGUUGUCUUCUCAUUUUGUUUAUGGUUUCCUUUGCUCUGCAAAAAGAUGUAAGCUUAAUUAGGUCCCAUUUGUUUUUUAUUUUUGCUUCUAUUUCUAUUGCCUUGGGAGAUUGACCUAAGAAAAUAUUGCUAUGAUGUAUGUCAGGGAAUGUAUUGCCUAUGAUCUCCUCUAGGAGUUUUGUGGUGUUAUGUCUUAUAUUUAAGUCUUUAAGCCAUUUUAUCUUUGUGUGUAGUGUAAAGGUGUGUUCUAACUUCAUUGAUAUACAUGCCGCUGUCCAGCUUUCCCAACACCACUUGCUGAAAAGACUGUUUUUUCUGCAUUGUAUAUUCUUGCCCCCGUGUUGAAGAUUAAUUGACCACAGUUUCCAGCCCUGGGUGUUCACUGGAAGGACUGAUGCUGAAGCUGAAACUCCAAUACUUUGGCCACCUGAUGCGAAGAGCUGACUCAUUUGAAAAGACCCUGAUGCUGGGAAAGAUUGAGGGCAGGAGGAGAAGGGGACGACAGAGGAUGAGAUGGUUGGAUGGCAUCACCGACUCAAUGGACAUGGGUUUGGGUGGACUCUGGAAGUUGGUGAUGGACAGGGAGGCCUAGCGUGCUGUGGUCCAUGGGGUCGCAAAGAGUCGGACACGACUGAGCGACUGAACUGAGCUGAUGUAGUUUAUUUCUGAGCUUUCUGUUCUGUUCCAUUGAUCCAUAUGUCUGUUUUUGUGCAAAUACUACACUGUGUUGAUUACUGUUGCUGGGAGGAUUAUGCCUCCAGCUUUGUUUUUUUCCCCCAGGGUUGCUUUGGUAAUUGUGGGUCUUUUAUGGUUCCAUAUAAAGUUUAGGAUUAUUUUUUCUAAUUUUGUGAAAAAUAUCACAGUUAAUGAAAUAAUAGGGAUCGCAUUAAAUCCAUAGAUUGCUUUGAGUAGCCUGAGCAUUUUAACAUUAAUUCUUCUAAUCCAAGAGCAUGGGAUCUCUUUCCAUUUAUUUGAAUAAUCUUCAAUUUCCUUUAUCAUUAUUUUAUAGUUCUCAACAUCUAAGCCUUUUACCUCCUUAGUCAGGUUUAUUCCUAAAUAUUUUUUUUUGGCAGUUUCAAAAGGCACUUUUUAUUUUCUCCCUUUCAUUGUUAGUGUGAAGAAACACAGUGGAUUUCUGUAUGAUCCAUGCAAAUGUUAAUAAACCCAUCAGAACGAUGAGUCAGAGUAAUCCACUUCACGUCAAGCCAGUCUCCUGGAGCCUUUCUCCUCUCCUGGGAAUGCUCCAAGGGUAGUCCAGUGUCCUCUCAGGCAAAGCAGAUGCUGGUCAACAAGCUGACGUGUCUGUAGAGUUUGCCAUGAAGUGGCUUGUUCAUGACCUGUUUCUGGGAUCCUGGAAAAAUGUUUUUGAGGUCUACCUGGAAAGUCUGGUCUUGGAAACCCAGUUGUUUUCUUGGGCAUCAGGAAGGUUGUGAUCCAAGAGAAUGCAUCAUAGUUUUAUUUAUUUGUUUAUUCAUUUAUUUAUUUUGGCUUGUGCAUCAGCAUUGAGCAGGGACUUCUCUAGUUGGGGUGCGAAGGAGCUUCUUUUGCUGUGGAGCUUGGGCUCUAGAGUGUGUGGACUCAGUAGUUGCGGCUCUCGGGCUUAGUUACCCCACAGCAUGUGGGAUCUUAGUUCCCCGACUAAGGAUCAAAGCCUCAUCCCCUGCAUUAGAAGGCAGAGUGUUCUUUUUUAUUUUUUGUCUUUAUUUUCGAAGGCAAAGUCUUAACCACUGGACCACUAGGGAAGUCCCAGUGUAUCAUGGCUUUAAAUGAAUCUGGAACUGAAAAGCACAUUUUGUUUUUAAAUUUACAUUCAGUAACUAAAUUGAAGGAGAGAAUGAUCUUAAAGCCAGUGGUCUCUUAGAUCACGUGGAAGAAAUAUCUCAAAACACACCAAAAACGGAGAAAAAGAAACCAGGAAGGCAGAGACUCAGAGGACCAAUCCGUGUUGAGCUCAGUGCCAGUCAGAUUUCCCUGAGCCAGUUCCUGUAGUCAGGAGAUACCCCUUCCUGCCUGUGGUCUCGUAAGGUUUGAGCCUGCAUUUUAAGUAUGCCAGGUGAUGCUAAUACUGCUGGACCACAAGACAGCACUUUGAGUAGCAGGAACCUCGGCGGGGUUUGUCUCCUGUGUAAUUGAUAGGGCUUACCACUGCCUCCACAUUCUGUUGAUGGGAACCUGAUGGAAGGCAAGAGAAAGGAUGAGGAAAAUAAGUAAUUUUCCUUUUUUCAAAAUAAAAAUUAUUUAUUUUUAGCUGUGCUGGGUCUUCGUUGCUGCAAAAGGCUUUCUCUAGUUGUGGCGAGUGGGGCUUCUCUCCAGUUGUGGUGCGAGGGCUUCUCAUUGCGGUGGCUUCUUUUGUUGUGGAGGAUGGGCUCGAGGGUGCUCGGGCUUCAGUAGUUGCAGCACGUGGGCUUAGUUACCCUGCCAGCAUGUGGGAUCUUCUCUGAGCAGGGAUCAAACCCAUGUCCCCUGCAUUGGCAGGUGGAUUCUUAACCAUUGGACUACCAAGAAGGCCCUAAACUAGCAAUUUUCCUUUUUAAAAAUCUCAUCUUUUUAAUUUAAAAAUGUCAAACCUCUGAAUAUUUGAAAGAAUAAUGCAGUAAACACCUAUGUACUUUUCACCUAGCAUCACCAGUUAUUAAUAGUUAAACAAUUUCCUCUUAAGGACAUGCUUGAGAACGUUAAGUUGCUCAUAUCACUUCCACUGUUGUUCACUGGUAAAAACUUUGGCAUAUGGUUUCAUCUUGCUGCAAAGGAGACUAAGAAGUACAAGCUUAGCUUGUUAGCUCUUUGCCUGCUAAAGUGGGUACUGUCCUACUACUACAUGAGGAUGUGAUUAAGCAGUUGCUUUUUAAAAAGAAAGGAGAGGAUGGACUUUCCUGGCAGUGCAGUAGUUAAACUUCGCCUUCCAGUGCAGAAGGUAAGGGUUUAGUCCCUGGUUGAGGAACUAAGA
Molecule: long non-coding RNA, 6040 nt
Organism: Dama dama (fallow deer)
Lineage: Eukaryota; Metazoa; Chordata; Mammalia; Artiodactyla; Cervidae
Exons: 3
Source: RefSeq, a predicted model, not a curated record